CCUACGGGCGGCAGCAGUGGGGAAUAUUGGACAAUGGGGGGAACCCUGAUCCAGCCAUGCCGCGUGUGUGAAGAAGGCCCUCGGGUUGUAAAGCACUUUCAGUGAGGAAGAACGCCUGGUGGUUAAUACCCAUCAGGAAAGACAUCACUCACAGAAGAAGCACCGGCUAACUCCGUGCCAGCAGCCGCGGUAAUACGGAGGGUGCGAGCGUUAAUCGGAAUUACUGGGCGUAAAGCGCGCGUAGGUGGCUUGAUAAGCCGGUUGUGAAAGCCCCGGGCUCAACCUGGGAACGGCAUCCGGAACUGUCAAGCUAGAGUGCAGGAGAGGAAGGUAGAAUUCCCGGUGUAGCGGUGAAAUGCGUAGAGAUCGGGAGGAAUACCAGUGGCGAAGGCGGCCUUCUGGACUGACACUGACACUGAGGUGCGAAAUCGUGGGUAGCAAACAGGAUUAGAUACCCUUGUAGUC
This 465-nucleotide ribosomal RNA is filed under the name Vreelandella stevensii. RNAcentral describes it as "partial 16S ribosomal RNA". It matches the Rfam family "Bacterial small subunit ribosomal RNA", at positions 338 to 795 of the family's 1533-position model. The record is from RNAcentral. Lineage: Bacteria; Pseudomonadati; Pseudomonadota; Gammaproteobacteria; Oceanospirillales; Halomonadaceae.